This 852-nucleotide ribosomal RNA is filed under the name uncultured bacterium. Its description in RNAcentral is "bacterial SSU rRNA". It matches the Rfam family "Bacterial small subunit ribosomal RNA", at positions 93 to 942 of the family's 1533-position model. The record is from RNAcentral.
GAGCGGCGGACGGGUGAGUAACGCGUAGGAAUCUACCUGGUAGUGGGGGACAACUCGGGGAAACUCGAGCUAAUACCGCAUACGCCCUGAGGGGGAAAGCGGGGGAUCUUCGGACCUCGCGCUAUCGGAUGAGCCUGCGUUGGAUUAGCUUGUUGGUGGGGUAAUGGCUCACCAAGGCGACGAUCCAUAGCUGGUCUGAGAGGAUGAUCAGCCACACCGGGACUGAGACACGGCCCGGACUCCUACGGGAGGCAGCAGUGGGGAAUAUUGCGCAAUGGGCGGAAGCCUGACGCAGCCAUGCCGCGUGUGUGAAGAAGGCCUUAGGGUUGUAAAGCACUUUCACUUGGGAGGAAAAGGUUGCGGUUAAUAGCCGUAGCUCUUGACGUUACCUUGAGAAGAAGCACCGGCUAACUCCGUGCCAGCAGCCGCGGUAAUACGGAGGUGCGAGCGUUAAUCGGAAUUACUGGGCGUAAAGCGCGCGUAGGCGGUUUGUUAAGUCGGAUGUGAAAGCCCCGGGCUCAACCUGGGAAUUGCACCCGAUACUGGCCGACUGGAGUGCGAGAGAGGGAGGUAGAAUUCCACGUGUAGCGGUGAAAUGCGUAGAUAUGUGGAGGAAUACCGGUGGCGAAGGCGGCCUCCUGGCUCGACACUGACGCUGAGGUGCGAAAGCGUGGGUAGCAAACAGGAUUAGAUACCCUGGUAGUCCACGCCGUAAACGAUGUCUACUAGCCGUUGGGGAACUUGAUUCUUUGGUGGCGCAGUUAACGCGAUAAGUAGACCGCCUGGGGAGUACGGCCGCAAGGUUAAAACUCAAAUGAAUUGACGGGGGCCCGCACAAGCGGUGGAGCAUGU